This 27-nucleotide non-coding RNA is filed under the name Mus musculus (house mouse). Lineage: Eukaryota; Metazoa; Chordata; Mammalia; Rodentia; Muridae. The record is from RNAcentral.
AUUAUCAUCAUGGCAGGAAGCAUGGCA